UCUGGACUUAGGCCAGAGGGAGGU
RNAcentral lists this non-coding RNA (24 nucleotides) under Cricetulus griseus (Chinese hamster). The record is from RNAcentral. Lineage: Eukaryota; Metazoa; Chordata; Mammalia; Rodentia; Cricetidae.